RNAcentral lists this ribosomal RNA (253 nucleotides) under uncultured bacterium. RNAcentral's name for it is "partial 16S ribosomal RNA". It matches the Rfam family "Bacterial small subunit ribosomal RNA", at positions 524 to 776 of the family's 1533-position model. The record is from RNAcentral.
UAAAGAGGGUGCAAACGUUGCUCGGAAUCAUUGGGCGUAAAGCGCACGUAGGCGGUCCAGCAAGCGGGGAGUGAAAGCCCUCGGCUUAACCGAGGAAGUGCUUUCCGAACUACUGGGCUUGAGUACGCAAGAGGGUCGCGGAAUUCCCGGUGUAGAGGUGAAAUUCGUAGAUAUCGGGAGGAACACCAGUGGCGAAGGCGGCGACCUGGGGCGAUACUGACGCUGAGGUGCGAAAGCGUGGGGAGCAAACAGG